UUAAGUUCAGCGGGUAUCCCUACCUGAUCCGAGGUCAAACUGGAGAUGGACUUGCUGGACGCUGAUCCGCCAAAGCCUCGAGAAGCGCAAUGUGCUGCGCGAGAAGCUGGCACGACCGCUGCCAAUGUCUUCUAGGCGAGUCCGCGCACGAGGCGGGACAGGCGCCCAACACCAAGCAGAGCUUGAGGGGGUAAAUGACG
This 200-nucleotide unclassified non-coding RNA is filed under the name Phoma sp. RNAcentral describes it as "partial internal transcribed spacer 2". The record is from RNAcentral. Lineage: Eukaryota; Fungi; Ascomycota; Dothideomycetes; Pleosporales; Didymellaceae.